UGGUAGUCCACGCUGUAAACGAUGUCGAUUUAGAGGUUGUGGUCUUGAAUCGUGGCUUCUGGAGCUAACGCGUUAAAUCGACCGCCUGGGGAGUACGGCCGCAAGGUUAAAACUCAAAUGAAUUGACGGGGGCCCGCACAAGCGGUGGAGCAUGUGGUUUAAUUCGAUGCAACGCGAAGAACCUUACCUACUCUUGACAUCCAGCGAAUCCUUUAGAGAUAGAGGAGUGCCUUCGGGAACGCUGAGACAGGUGCUGCAUGGCUGUCGUCAGCUCGUGUUGUGAAAUGUUGGGUUAAGUCCCGCAACGAGCGCAACCCUUAUCCUUUGUUGCCAGCACGUGAUGGUGGGAACUCAAAGGAGACUGCCGGUGAUAAACCGGAGGAAGGUGGGGAUGACGUCAAGUCAUCAUGGCCCUUACGAGUAGGGCUACACACGUGCUACAAUGGCAGAUACAAAGAGAAGCGACCUCGCGAGAGCAAGCGGAACUCAUAAAGUCUGUCGUAGUCCGGAUUGGAGUCUGCAACUCGACUCCAUGAAGUCGGAAUCGCUAGUAAUCGUAGAUCAGAAUGCUACGGUGAAUACGUUCCCGGGCCUUGUACACACCGCCCGUCACACCAUGGGAGUGGGUUGCAAAAGAAGUAGGUAGCUUAACCUUCGGGAAGGCGCUUACCACUUUGUGAUUCAUGACUGGGGUGAAGUCGUA
This 703-nucleotide ribosomal RNA is filed under the name uncultured bacterium. RNAcentral's name for it is "bacterial SSU rRNA". It matches the Rfam family "Bacterial small subunit ribosomal RNA", at positions 788 to 1490 of the family's 1533-position model. The record is from RNAcentral.